UUUUGUUGAGGGGAAAUCAAGUGAAAUUGGAAGGUACAGCACAUGGGUAUCAACUUUGUGUGAGACAAUAGAAGGUCCACCAGAAAUGGGAGGCAGGGCAAAGAGAAUUAAUUCAAGUCAUAGCCAAGUUGGAAAAAGUUCCUUGUCAUCAGAAGGUGAUAAGAUAUAUCCCUAGGGUAUUUGCAGGGAAGAUUCAUGUGUCCAUUCUGCAAUUACAGUUAAGGGUAGUACUGUUAAAAAGUGGGAAACAACAUUGAUUAUGCCAUAUUUCAACAAGUCUCAGUCUAAUUACAAAUUGCCUAGGGGAGUAAAAGACAAUACAUUUAUGGCAAAACUGCUUGAAGCAAGGUUAGAGGAACAUAAAUCUCGCUCUAAGCCUAGCAAAAGCUCUUUCUGAUCAACAACUAAACAAGUUUAUGAUGAGAACAUUGGAAUAUAUCAAUAGUUGCAAAUGUAUUAUUACACUCUGAGGGACUACAUAUAGUUAAAGAAAUGAAUCUCAUCACUUAAUGUCAUGAUUAUCAUUGACUUCCUAAUAACAAAUAGUCAACAUCAUCAUUUCAUUCUAUUUAUAAACAUUGUACAAUUAUUGUUAUUAUUAUUGUAAUUAUGGUUAGCUCAAUUAUAGGACCAUGACUGUAAACUAUUAUGUUUAAGCACAGUUGCUGCAAUAGAAUAUAUAUCAUAUUAUUCACCAUUUUCUAUCUUGGCAUCAGAGCUUUAAGCUUGAAAGCUCUCAUCGAUCCAAUCAUGUCAUCCGCUGCCAACACAAACCAGAAAAAUGACAUUCCCACUAUAGUUUAUGUCAAGUUGGACAGAGACAACUAUCCAUUAUGGAAAUCAUUGGUUCUUCCAUUGAUCAGAGGCUACAAACUUGAUGUCUACAUGUUGGGGACAAAAGCAUGCCCAGAUCAGUUCAUCACAUCAGGUGAAACAACAAAGAAAGCCAAUCCUGACCAGGAUGAUUGGAUUGCUCGAGAUCAAGCACUCCUGGGAUGGCUAAUCAACUCCAUGACAACAGACAUAGCCACACAGUUACUACACUUUGAAACAUCCAAGGAAAUUUGGGAUGAAGCCCAAAAGCUUGCAGGAGCUCAUACAAAGUCAAGGACAAUCUACCUCAAAUCAGAAUUUCAUAAUACUCGUAAAGGGAACAUGAAGAUGGAGUAAUAUCUCAUGAAAAUGAAAACUCUUGCAGACAAGUUGAAACUUGCAGGGUCACCAAUUUCAAACUCUGACUUGAUGAUCCAAAUUCUGAAUGGAUUAGAUGCUGACUAUAAUCCAGUGGUAGUUAAGCUUGCUGAUCUGAUUGAUCUCAGUUAGGUUGAAUUUCAAUCCCAACUACUAGCUUUUGAAAGCAGAAUAGAUCAACUUAACAACUUGAGUGGUCUUACAAUCAAUGCAUCUGCAAAUUUUGCAAGUAAGGAUGAGUAUAGAGGAAACAAACAAGGAACACGAGGCAAUUGGAGAGGUUCCAACUUUAGAGCAAUGAAUGCAGAACUUGAAGCAGAAAAUAAGAAGCUAAGGAAGGAAGUUCUAGAACAUAAGCUACUGCUGCUGGAAUACAAGUCAACCACUGAAGCGCAGUUAGAAGAAGCAAAGGCUAGAGAAGAAAGACUGGUUAAAAGUAAUGAAGAGUUCAAGCAAGAGAUGAAUAGAAAGGCAGAUGAAACACAAAGAAUGAUGCAACAAAUGAUGGAGAUGAUCCAAAAACAAGCCCAACCCUACUUGCACACAUUAGCUUGUUUAGUUUUAUCUCUUAUUUGUUUUCUGCACAUUUUAUUUGCUUUUGAAUUACUCUUCUGAUCAAUUUUGCUUCUGAAUGAAUAUGAACAUGCUUCUGAACUUCUUGUAUGCUU
This 1859-nucleotide long non-coding RNA is filed under the name Medicago truncatula (barrel medic). RNAcentral's name for it is "long non-coding RNA (MTRU_LNC005759)". Lineage: Eukaryota; Viridiplantae; Streptophyta; Magnoliopsida; Fabales; Fabaceae. The record is from RNAcentral.